RNAcentral lists this transfer-messenger RNA (371 nucleotides) under Bacteroidota bacterium. RNAcentral's name for it is "Bacteroidetes bacterium transfer-messenger RNA". It matches the Rfam family "transfer-messenger RNA". Rfam says of the family: Bacterial tmRNA, also known as 10Sa RNA or SsrA, is named for its dual tRNA and mRNA-like properties. Its role is to liberate the mRNA from a stalled ribosome. Lineage: Bacteria; Pseudomonadati; Bacteroidota. The record is from RNAcentral.
GGGGAUGAUCAGGCUUCGACGGAUUGCAUCGCACAACAAGCUGCGUGUCGAGUCAAUCUGACUUGGACUCGUAAAAAUCACGUCAGAAAACCUGUAACUGCGAACGAUUAUUCGUACGCGAUGGCGGCAUAAACCCGCUAUCUGUCUUCUAUGCAUACCCGCUCACAGGUGGUAUAGAAGGCAUCGCCAAAUGUGAGCACCCUAUCUGGAUUCCGGCUGGAUCCUGGUAGCGGUAUCGAUCAGCCUUUGCUGACACCCGGCCCCGGUCGCACGCCAAGGGUAGAUGCAAGACAUUAAGGUGUGACCUACACACGUAGACGCUUGUCUGUCCGACCUUUCGGACCCGGGUUCGAUUCCCGGCAUCUCCACAA